CACAUAUAAACAGAAGUUGGCCAAACAAAGGAUGAUAAUAGAUAACUUCAUACAUUAAGUACAACAAAAUAAGAGGUUACGAGAGUCAAGUACAUUCAUUCAUUACAAUGAUCAAGUCAUAAUAUAUAUCUAUGAGCAUAAGGCUCUCAUAUAAGCAACUACUAAAAUAAAAUACAACAACUAAAUAGUAUGUAACCUAAAACUACUAAUACAAAAU
Molecule: long non-coding RNA, 217 nt
Filed under: Elaeis guineensis (African oil palm)
Lineage: Eukaryota; Viridiplantae; Streptophyta; Magnoliopsida; Arecales; Arecaceae
Description: long non-coding RNA (EGUI_LNC064864)
Source: RNAcentral